Paramormyrops kingsleyae is the source of this 814-nucleotide long non-coding RNA. RefSeq lists it as uncharacterized. The record is from RefSeq and is a predicted model, not a curated record. NCBI's taxonomy places the organism in Eukaryota, Metazoa, Chordata, Actinopteri, Osteoglossiformes, Mormyridae.
GAAGAGCGCAGGAAGAAAAAAAUUAGAAGACGGACUGGAUGUGGAGCUGGUUCUGUCCAAGGAUUUUAGUUUCCUUUGAGAGAAAUUUUCGAUUGGUUUUUUUGAUUGCUGAAAACCUGUUCAACAUCGGAGGGACGGUUGUUCGGAGGAGAACGAUCGACGGAGAAGCACGGUCACACGCAUCCUGCCAGGAUCCGCACCGGAGCCGAGCGCCCUCCGUUGGAUUUCAGAUAAGAAGGGACACAGAACAGAGGGAGGACAACUUUGUGGACUGACUGGACUGAAUGACUGACUGGACACAACAAUCUUUUAUCUAUAUAUAUAUAUAUAUUUCUUUGAUAAGCUCACGAGCACGGUUAUCUUUUGAGGGGUGGAAGUAUUUGUUUUAUAUUAUUUGUAAUAACUAUUUGGUUUUCUCUGGUACAGUUUUGUUUGUGGGGUCCGUAUAAUAACGUAUAUGUUUUAUUCUUUCUUUUGGUAGUUAUGGAAAUCCAAACUGGAAUGGGAAGGGAUUUGGGAAUGAUUGUACAGAGAAUGGACCAGGCUGAGCCUUAGAAAGAAGUUAGCUUAUUGUUAUAUUAUUAAUUCAGUGAAUGGUUGUAGUUCAAAAUAAAUAAGUUAAGUAAAUUCGUUUUUUUGUGGUUUCGUUUUACCAAUUAUCCUCCUCCCUGAACCUAGAAAGAAGGGUUACAUCAAUCAUUUUGUGGCGAGCCAGCCAGGAGGAUUUUUGAGUAAAACAGCCUGGGAUUAAUCAGUAGGUAUUAGAUAUAGUCCCUAGAAGUAUUUUGAGGAUAGGGUACAAAAAAAAAAAAAA